This is a non-coding RNA of Coffea arabica (coffee), 2434 nucleotides long. Lineage: Eukaryota; Viridiplantae; Streptophyta; Magnoliopsida; Gentianales; Rubiaceae. The record is from RefSeq and is a predicted model, not a curated record.
GCAUAUCCCCAAGUCCCCAACCCAAUUCCUCCAAGCGCCGAGGCUGCCAACCACAGACAUAAUAAAUAAUCCGUGCAUAAUGCAGACCAGAGGGCAGUAUCAGCUCAUCCAAAUCCCAAUUUCGUCGUCUUCACAGUUCACAUAGCACCAAUUCACCAGUCACCACACGCUCCCCACCCUUUGCUUCCACCAACGCCAAGAAUAGUAGCACAAGCAACAGCAGCAGCUGUUCCUAAAGACCGAAGGGUCUAAACGACCCGGUCCAGUUGCAGCAGGACAAGGUCCCCCAGUUUGAAACAUCCUAGUAGUACCAGUACCAGUACAAGUACAAUAUAUAGUACUACUGUACUACUACUCCAUUAUUCUUCUUGCUCCAAUGGCGGUUGUAGUAGCAAAUGGGCGUCCAUUAAUUACGGCUCUCAUCUCUUGCAAUUUGCCACAUAUCAAGUUCUUGCUCGGUGGUGGUGCUCCCACCAGUUGUCGUACACCUUCCUUCUCCUCCUCGCUACCGAACACUACACUCAAAAGUGCAACUGCACCGCACCAUCUUUGGAAUUUUAAGCCCUCGGCAUCUCGGUAUCUCCCUCCUGUCCUUGUUUUUAAGUGUAGGUUCAAAUGCUUUCAGCAUCAGGGUCCUGAAAGUGAUGAGUCUUCCACAUCUAAGGACAAACCAGAGGGACAACAUAAGGCUGCUGAUGAUGUAAUGCAAAGUUUGAAAGGCAAAGCAGCUAGUGGAGAAAUCUCAUUUCUGUCAAAACUAGUGGUACUCCUGGCUGUGGCUCUGGCAAUUACAGUGCUAUCCAUUGGCUUUAGACAGCCUCAUCAAAGAUCUCUGCUUGGCAUUCAACAUUUAGUUGAUAGUUCAUCUGCUCCCGCUUUAAGUACACAUGCUGUUGGUUUUUCUUUUAGAGCUUUUGGAUACAGAAUUAUACUUCCAGAAUAUGCUCCAGGGUGGAUCUACUUCUGGCUUCUGAUGGCUGCAGGAUGCGGUCUUUUCAUAAGUGAAGAGGCUUUAAAUAUAUGGGUUGGCAUCACUUUAGCGCGGAUGCUUUCACUGGAUGGCACAUGGCAUUCUUUUCUUGAUUCAUUCUCUAGGAACGCUCACUACAUUGUAUCCACGGUUUUAUGGGUUUACUGGGGAGUUUGCAUUAGUGAUAUGAUACCAUUUUACCUUGGCAAGCUUUUCAGACAAUCUGGGGCAUCCGAUGAUGUUUCUUCAAAGUUAGGAAUUGGCAGAGAGAAAGCAUUGAAAAUCACGCGCGUUGUCCAAAAAUAUGGAAAUCUAGUUGGUGUUGUUGAACGGUUCUCGUUAGGUGUGAGGAAUCCUACAGCAUUUUUAGCAGGUGCAAUGGUGCUGACUAGGAAAAGGUUGUUACCGCAUGCUAUGCAUACUAAGCUUUGGUGUCGGAGCAGAAUGAGUUAACAGUUUGAAACAAAGCAUUCCUUCUAUCUUGAUGCGUCAUGGCAAUUACCGAUUUCUUGCAUCUUGCUGUCAAAGUAAUCAAGCUGGGAAGCUUCAGUCUAUCUUGCAUUUGCAUUUGCACUGUAAAAUUUUCUGUUUUGAUGUCUCUGUCUUCUCUGGAUGUUGGGAACCAUUAGUUUAUGCAGCAAAGGCAAUAUGAUCACCAGUGUGGUACCUCGAAUUGAGAGUGCAACCACUUCAUGGUUCUUCUUUUUAUGUUUUUAUGUAGUUAGUUUUUUUAAAGUUCCUAACUAGUUUUUAAAUGUCGUAAACUUACUUGUUGCUGGAACUCAACUAUUAUGCGGAUUUUUAUGUCAUCACUGCAAACUAUGUGGAUUUUUAUGCCAUAACUGCAGUGUGUUUUUCCUGAAGUACGACUUUUUUGCAGGGUAUAUCACCUGAGUUUUUCUUUGCCGGUGUCUGUUGUGGUGGUCUUAUAACACUUCCACUUCAGUUGGGGAUUGGAUUCUUAUUCAGAGACCGUCCAGUGUUUGCCCUUGCCACUGUUGCAACUGUAGUGGGAAUCUGGACUAUCAUCCCAUAUGCUGCAGCUGCUUUGACAGCAUUGUUCCUUUAUCUGCGACGUAAGAACUUCAGUUAGUUGUGGUUUCUGUUUCUAAGUUCACCAUUUCCUGGGGUACACAGCCUGGAAACUAUCAAUACGUGCUUGUAAAGGGACUAACUACUGCAGAGAAAAAUCAGGGUAUGGAUGGUUUUGCAACAGCUUGUUGAAUAACCACCGCCAGACACCCUUUUAAGUGAAGGCUUUACAGAUUUGGUUAGGGAACUUGCAAUCAUGCACUCACCGUAUAAUUGCUUGAAAGCUGGCAUCUGUCCCUGUAACUUCCGUAAAAUAGGGUACCUUAUAUAUUCAAGGGCCAAGUUGGGCAUGAAAGAUCUUUUUGGCAUAUUGUUUUUGGUCAUACCUGUUGCUCUCUCAGAUUGAGUCAAUCAAGGCAAAAUACUUAUUUA